UACGUAGGGUGCGAGCGUUGUCCGGAAUUAUUGGGCGUAAAGAGCUCGUAGGCGGUUUGUCGCGUCGGCCGUGAAAUCUCCACGCUUAACGUGGAGCGUGCGGUCGAUACGGGCGAGACUUGAGUUCGGUAGGGGAGACUGGAAUUCCUGGUGUAGCGGUGGAAAUGACGCAGAUAUCAGGAGGAACACCGGUGGCGAAGGCGGUUCUCUGGGCAUUACCUGACGCUGAGGAGCGAAAGCGUGGGGAGCAAACAGG
Molecule: ribosomal RNA, 256 nt
Filed under: uncultured bacterium
Lineage: Bacteria
Description: partial 16S ribosomal RNA
Rfam family: Bacterial small subunit ribosomal RNA
Source: RNAcentral